AAGGUCGUAACAAGGUUUCCCGUAGGUGAACCUGCGGAAGGAUCAUUAGAAAGUCGUGCUCGGCGGUAAAGCGCCCGGACCUACCUUCAAACCACUGUGAAACCAAACCAGUUGCUUCGCGGCCUGCCCGGCGAGAGCCGGCGCUGUCAGUCCGCAGAAGCCCAAAGCACAAACCUUUCUGUAACAGUCUGUCUGAUACAAAUGAAUUAAAACUUCGUUAAAA
RNAcentral lists this unclassified non-coding RNA (223 nucleotides) under plant metagenome. RNAcentral describes it as "partial contains small subunit ribosomal RNA and internal transcribed spacer 1". The record is from RNAcentral.